AUGAGAUAAAAUAAUAUAUAUUUUAUUAAUGUCCUUGUUGCCGUUUCAGUGAACAGAAAUGAGAGAAACAGCAGCAUGUAAUGAAAACAACAAAAAUGAAAACAAAAUUCGAAUGAAAACGAAAAAGAAAAUGACCCUGAACAACUAAAGCAACUUUCACACUCUGGCUUUAUUUAUUUGUGCCGAGCCAUGUUUGUCUGUCAAUCAUUCUGCAAAACACCUUCCAAUAGCAUACACAGACCAAAAUGUCUGUAAUUGCUGUUAUUAUAUGUAUACUCAACUCGCACAGGUGUGUCUAGGUGAGUCCGUCUGUCUGCAGACACUCUGUAUGUAUGUCAUCUCUUUUUUUUUUUUUUUUUGGCCUGAACUGCAUGGAAUUCAUGAUUGUUUUUGCACCUUAGAUUAACUUUACUGAAACACUAAACACCACAGCUACACAGGCUUGGGCAAUUUCUGGCGUUAUCAUUUGCCUAUACAUUAUUUCUAUUUUUAUAUAUUCACUUUGUUUUCAUUCAUU
This is a long non-coding RNA of Cynoglossus semilaevis (tongue sole), 517 nucleotides long. RefSeq lists it as uncharacterized. The record is from RefSeq and is a predicted model, not a curated record. The transcript is spliced from 2 exons. Lineage: Eukaryota; Metazoa; Chordata; Actinopteri; Pleuronectiformes; Cynoglossidae.